AAAUGAAUAGACGGGGGCCCGCACAAGCAGUGGAGUAUGUGGUUUAAUUCGACGCAACGCGAAGAACCUUACCAGGGCUUGACAUAUAAGUGAAUAUACUAGAGAUAGUAUAGUCCUUCGGGACACUUAUACAGGUGGUGCAUGGUUGUCGUCAGCUCGUGUCGUGAGAUGUUGGGUUAAGUCCCGCAACGAGCGCAACCCCUGUCUUCAGUUGCCAGCAUGUAAUGAUGGGAACUCUGGAGAGACUGCCGGUGAUAAAUCGGAGGAAGGUGGGGACGACGUCAAAUCAUCAUGCCCUUUAUGUCCUGGGCUACACACGUACUACAAUGGCUAUAACAAAGAGAAGCGAAGCAGUGAUGUGGAGCAAAACUCAAAAAAGUAGUCUCAGUUCGGAUUGUAGGCUGAAAUUCGCCUACAUGAAGCUGGAAUUGCUAGUAAUGGCAGGUCAGCAUACUGCCGUGAAUACGUUCCCGGGCCUUGCACACACCGCCCGU
This 494-nucleotide ribosomal RNA is filed under the name uncultured bacterium. RNAcentral's name for it is "bacterial SSU rRNA". It matches the Rfam family "Bacterial small subunit ribosomal RNA", at positions 903 to 1397 of the family's 1533-position model. The record is from RNAcentral.